This 200-nucleotide ribosomal RNA is filed under the name uncultured bacterium. RNAcentral describes it as "partial 16S ribosomal RNA". It matches the Rfam family "Bacterial small subunit ribosomal RNA", at positions 1300 to 1500 of the family's 1533-position model. The record is from RNAcentral.
GCAGGCUGCAACCCGCCUGCAUGAAGUCGGAAUUGCUAGUAAUCGCGGAUCAGCAUGCCGCGGUGAAUACGUUCCCGGGCCUUGUACACACCGCCCGUCACACCAUGGGAGCCGGUAAUACCCGAAGUCAGUAGUCCAACCUCGUGAGGACGCUGCCGAAGGUAGGAUUGGCGACUGGGGUGAAGUCGUAACAAGGUAGC